RNAcentral lists this ribosomal RNA (253 nucleotides) under uncultured bacterium. RNAcentral's name for it is "partial 16S ribosomal RNA". It matches the Rfam family "Bacterial small subunit ribosomal RNA", at positions 524 to 776 of the family's 1533-position model. The record is from RNAcentral.
UACGAAGGGGGCUAGCGUUGCUCGGAAUCACUGGGCGUAAAGCGCACGUAGGCGGACUUUUAAGUCAGGGGUGAAAUCCUGGAGCUCAACUCCAGAACUGCCUUUGAUACUGGAAGUCUUGAGUCCGGAAGAGGUAAGUGGAACUGCGAGUGUAGAGGUGAAAUUCGUAGAUAUUCGCAAGAACACCAGUGGCGAAGGCGGCUUACUGGUCCGGUACUGACGCUGAGGUGCGAAAGCGUGGGGAGCAAACAGG